This 2797-nucleotide ribosomal RNA is filed under the name Escherichia coli. RNAcentral describes it as "partial 23S ribosomal RNA". It matches the Rfam family "Bacterial large subunit ribosomal RNA". The record is from RNAcentral. Lineage: Bacteria; Pseudomonadati; Pseudomonadota; Gammaproteobacteria; Enterobacterales; Enterobacteriaceae.
ACCCAGUGUGAUUCGUCACACUAUCAUUAACUGAAUCCAUAGGUUAAUGAGGCGAACCGGGGGAACUGAAACAUCUAAGUACCCCGAGGAAAAGAAAUCAACCGAGAUUCCCCCAGUAGCGGCGAGCGAACGGGGAGGAGCCCAGAGCCUGAAUCAGUGUGUGUGUUAGUGGAAGCGUCUGGAAAGGCGCGCGAUACAGGGUGACAGCCCCGUACACAAAAAUGCACAUGCUGUGAGCUCGAUGAGUAGGGCGGGACACGUGGUAUCCUGUCUGAAUAUGGGGGGACCAUCCUCCAAGGCUAAAUACUCCUGACUGACCGAUAGUGAACCAGUACCGUGAGGGAAAGGCGAAAAGAACCCCGGCGAGGGGAGUGAAAAAGAACCUGAAACCGUGUACGUACAAGCAGUGGGAGCACAGAGCAAUCUGUGUGACUGCGUACCUUUUGUAUAAUGGGUCAGCGACUUAUAUUCUGUAGCAAGGUUAACCGAAUAGGGGAGCCGAAGGGAAACCGAGUCUUAACUGGGCGUUAAGUUGCAGGGUAUAGACCCGAAACCCGGUGAUCUAGCCAUGGGCAGGUUGAAGGUUGGGUAACACUAACUGGAGGACCGAACCGACUAAUGUUGAAAAAUUAGCGGAUGACUUGUGGCUGGGGGUGAAAGGCCAAUCAAACCGGGAGAUAGCUGGUUCUCCCCGAAAGCUAUUUAGGUAGCGCCUCGUGAAUUCAUCUCCGGGGGUAGAGCACUGUUUCGGCAAGGGGGUCAUCCCGACUUACCAACCCGAUGCAAACUGCGAAUACCGGAGAAUGUUAUCACGGGAGACACACGGCGGGUGCUAACGUCCGUCGUGAAGAGGGAAACAACCCAGACCGCCAGCUAAGGUCCCAAAGUCAUGGUUAAGUGGGAAACGAUGUGGGAAGGCCCAGACAGCCAGGAUGUUGGCUUAGAAGCAGCCAUCAUUUAAAGAAAGCGUAAUAGCUCACUGGUCGAGUCGGCCUGCGCGGAAGAUGUAACGGGGCUAAACCAUGCACCGAAGCUGCGGCAGCGACACUGUGUGUUGUUGGGUAGGGGAGCGUUCUGUAAGCCUGUGAAGGUGUGCUGUGAGGCAUGCUGGAGGUAUCAGAAGUGCGAAUGCUGACAUAAGUAACGAUAAAGCGGGUGAAAAGCCCGCUCGCCGGAAGACCAAGGGUUCCUGUCCAACGUUAAUCGGGGCAGGGUGAGUCGACCCCUAAGGCGAGGCCGAAAGGCGUAGUCGAUGGGAAACAGGUUAAUAUUCCUGUACUUGGUGUUACUGCGAAGGGGGGACGGAGAAGGCUAUGUUGGCCGGGCGACGGUUGUCCCGGUUUAAGCGUGUAGGCUGGUUUUCCAGGCAAAUCCGGAAAAUCAAGGCUGAGGCGUGAUGACGAGGCACUACGGUGCUGAAGCAACAAAUGCCCUGCUUCCAGGAAAAGCCUCUAAGCAUCAGGUAACAUCAAAUCGUACCCCAAACCGACACAGGUGGUCAGGUAGAGAAUACCAAGGCGCUUGAGAGAACUCGGGUGAAGGAACUAGGCAAAAUGGUGCCGUAACUUCGGGAGAAGGCACGCUGAUAUGUAGGUGAAGUCCCUCGCGGAUGGAGCUGAAAUCAGUCGAAGAUACCAGCUGGCUGCAACUGUUUAUUAAAAACACAGCACUGUGCAAACACGAAAGUGGACGUAUACGGUGUGACGCCUGCCCGGUGCCGGAAGGUUAAUUGAUGGGGUCAGCGCAAGCGAAGCUCUUGAUCGAAGCCCCGGUAAACGGCGGCCGUAACUAUAACGGUCCUAAGGUAGCGAAAUUCCUUGUCGGGUAAGUUCCGACCUGCACGAAUGGCGUAAUGAUGGCCAGGCUGUCUCCACCCGAGACUCAGUGAAAUUGAACUCGCUGUGAAGAUGCAGUGUACCCGCGGCAAGACGGAAAGACCCCGUGAACCUUUACUAUAGCUUGACACUGAACAUUGAGCCUUGAUGUGUAGGAUAGGUGGGAGGCUUUGAAGUGUGGACGCCAGUCUGCAUGGAGCCGACCUUGAAAUACCACCCUUUAAUGUUUGAUGUUCUAACGUGGACCCGUGAUCCGGGUUGCGGACAGUGUCUGGUGGGUAGUUUGACUGGGGCGGUCUCCUCCUAAAGAGUAACGGAGGAGCACGAAGGUUGGCUAAUCCUGGUCGGACAUCAGGAGGUUAGUGCAAUGGCAUAAGCCAGCUUGACUGCGAGCGUGACGGCGCGAGCAGGUGCGAAAGCAGGUCAUAGUGAUCCGGUGGUUCUGAAUGGAAGGGCCAUCGCUCAACGGAUAAAAGGUACUCCGGGGAUAACAGGCUGAUACCGCCCAAGAGUUCAUAUCGACGGCGGUGUUUGGCACCUCGAUGUCGGCUCAUCACAUCCUGGGGCUGAAGUAGGUCCCAAGGGUAUGGCUGUUCGCCAUUUAAAGUGGUACGCGAGCUGGGUUUAGAACGUCGUGAGACAGUUCGGUCCCUAUCUGCCGUGGGCGCUGGAGAACUGAGGGGGGCUGCUCCUAGUACGAGAGGACCGGAGUGGACGCAUCACUGGUGUUCGGGUUGUCAUGCCAAUGGCACUGCCCGGUAGCUAAAUGCGGAAGAGAUAAGUGCUGAAAGCAUCUAAGCACGAAACUUGCCCCGAGAUGAGUUCUCCCUGACCCUUUAAGGGUCCUGAAGGAACGUUGAAGACGACGACGUUGAUAGGCCGGGUGUGUAAGCGCAGCGAUGCGUUGAGCUAACCGGUACUAAUGAACCGUGAGGCUUAACCUUACAACGCCGAAGGUGUUU